Molecule: RNA transcript, 2182 nt
Organism: Lynx canadensis (Canada lynx)
Lineage: Eukaryota; Metazoa; Chordata; Mammalia; Carnivora; Felidae
Gene: CD3H12orf43
Gene name: chromosome D3 C12orf43 homolog
Exons: 10
Source: RefSeq, a predicted model, not a curated record
CCCCACAAUCCUUCGCGGUGGCCCAAGAUGGCCGCGCCCAGUGGCCCCCUGAGCGCUUUGGAGAGCAGCAGCAGCAGCAGCAGCAGCGAUGAGGAGGAGUUGGCACGGUGCCGCGAGGCAGCGAUGCCGGCCUGGGGCUUGGAGCAGCGCCCGAGGGGACCGGAGAAGCCAAGAGCCGAUGCCGCAAAUAAUCAGUUGCCAGCCAGCCAGCCAAGCCUCAGGCGGAAAGCGGACGAACAUGAACAAGAUGGCAAUGAGCUUCAGACCACCCCUGAAUUCCGAGCCCACGUAGCCAAGAAACUGGGAGCCCUGCUGGACAGCUCAAUUACCAUCUCAGAAGUAGUGAAGGAGCCGAAAAAGACUGAAAUACAGAAAGUCCCCCCGGAGGAUGAUGGCUUCCGCCUUUUCUUCACAUCCAUCCCCGGAGACUCCGACAAGAAAGCUGCUCCCCAGCCCAGCCGAAAGCGCUUCCCUUCCGGCUCCAGAACACUUAGAAGGCAAGGACUCCAUUCACCGAUCCGCGGAUGCCCGGGACCAACCUACUCCCCUCCCCCAGAGUGCCUUGCGCGGAACAGCUUCCAGGAUCUCUGCUGGUCCCCAGGGAGCACUUUGACCUCUGCUCCCCCCUCAAGUGCUGUGGAUCGAGCCUCCCCCCCACCCACCAUUCCACUAAAGGGGCUGCUGAUCAACAGGCCCCACCCAGCCAGGGACGAAGGAACAACGAGCAGAAAGGGCUGCCCUUCCCCACCAUCGGGAGAUAAAGCUAAAUUGAGGAGCUGUUCGCCUUCUAGAGAAUGACACAGGACCUACUUUGUCACUGACCGCACUCCGACCCCCACCCCUGGCUGGCCUCAGGCCACCUUAGCCUUUCUUGACGAGCUCUACCGAGUUGCAACAUCAUCCGAAGUUAUGAAGCUCCGACAUUGAAAAUGCGAACUACCUAGAGCUAGCAGUUUUCAAGGUGUCCGGCAGGUGUCGCUGUGGACCUCUCAAAAAGCUUCUGAACUGGUCUGCGGUCCCCUGGGGCACCUGCGCGCAGGCUGAGACCUGCCCACCUAAUAACGGAGCGACGUGGACACGAUGAGGAGACAGGCCCAGAGAGGUUAAGCAACUUGCCCAAGGUCUCCCAGCUAGAAGUGACAGCUGAAAUUGGGGUCCAGGAAGCCUGGCUCUGGGCCCCAGGAUGAAAUGGCCUCAGGGUGACGAAACUACCGUGUCCUUCGGGAGCCACGAACAUUGACCCUUGGCUUCUUUGGAGAAGAGUCGACCAAUCAGCUGAGCAAGUCCAAAAAGCAGCUGAGGGGUGGAAAGCAGGUGCAGGUGAGAGUCCUCGCCCUACAAGUUUUCCCAGAUUGGCCCCCAUGCACCUGAAUUUGGGGGACCAGGAAGUGCCGAUGCCCUGGCAUCGCUGAUGGACAAAUGUCAGUUAGUCACAGCCUCAAUACAGGACAUGGGCAAUUCCAGAAAGCCGUAGCUUCUGGACUCCACCCACUGAAAACGGAGCCCCUGUGAGGAGAAGGGACAUGAAGGAACUGCUCCAUCAAACUCAAGCAGGUGUCCCCGGGGUCUGGCAUUGGAGUCACAUCCAUUCACAUGCCUCGGUGGGCCUCACGCUUCGCGAGUCAUUGAUGAUCCAGGACAAAUAAACCAAAAGCCUGUGAUUCUGUUUCUGGGUGGAUGGAGACAAAGGAGCGUGGGAACACUGUUUUUUUCGGGGGGGGGGACCCAAGAACUGGAGGACAAGGUGGGAUGAAGUCUUCUCUUUUGUGCUGUUUCAUUUUUACGGCACCUUGGCAGGAUCCAGCUGGCAUUCUCAAAUUAGAUGAUGAGACUUUCCGUAAAGGGGCUCUUUCCCAAAGUGGGAGAUGUAGAAAAACCCGAGGGACGGAGUAUAUGGGUGGGGGCUGGGGCUGGGGCUGGUCGGCAGCCUGGACACGUGAGGGGUGGGAAUGGCCUUCAGUGCUUUGGAAAGGGCUGUCCUGAGAGGCCGGAACCAGGUGACUCCAAGCCAGGAGGUGGGAGGGCAGUAAAUACCUCCACCUCCACUCCAGUGUGGUCUCCCCACCUGCCCCAGGGUCUCCCCACCUGCCCCAUGCAACCACCAGGGACAGGAAGACUCCCUGGGACACAGAGCGGAGUGGAGACCGGAGAUCACCGCUGCAGGGCAAACCAGACCACCACA